Molecule: ribosomal RNA, 491 nt
Filed under: uncultured bacterium
Lineage: Bacteria
Description: partial 16S ribosomal RNA
Rfam family: Bacterial small subunit ribosomal RNA
Source: RNAcentral
AGUGAACGCUGGCGGUAGCCCAACACCUGGCAAUUGAACGGCAGCAACGUAAGAGCCUGGCUUUUAGGGGGGGGGGUGGGGGGCGGGGGAGGGAUACCAUCGAAUUUACCUUUUUGUGGGGGAUUAAGGAGGGAAACUUACGCUAAUACCCCCUACGACCUACGGGUGAAAGCAAGGGAUCUUUGGACCUUGCGCGGUUUGAUUGGCCGAUGUCGGAUUAGCUAGUUGGCGGGGUAAAGGCCCACCAAGGCGACGAUCCGUAGCUGGUCUGAGAGGAUGAUCAGCCACACUGGAACUGAGACACGGUCCAGACUCCUACGGGAGGCAGCAGUGGGGAAUAUUGGACAAUGGGCGCAAGCCUGAUCCAGCCAUACCGCGUGGGUGAAGAAGGCCUUCGGGUUGUAAAGCCCUUUUGUUGGGAAAGAAAAGCAGCAGGUUAAUACCCCGCUGUUCUGACGGUACCCAAAGAAUAAGCACCGGCUAACUUCGUG